Molecule: ribosomal RNA, 1398 nt
Filed under: uncultured bacterium
Lineage: Bacteria
Description: 16S ribosomal RNA
Rfam family: Bacterial small subunit ribosomal RNA
Source: RNAcentral
UAGAGUUUGAUCCUGGCUCAGGAUGAACGCUAGCGGCAGGCUUAACACAUGCAAGUCGCGGGGCAGCGGGGGAGAAGCUUGCUUCUCCCGCCGGCGACCGGCGCACGGGUGAGUAACACGUAUGCAACCUGCCCUUGUCAGGGGGACAACCCAGCGAAAGUUGGGCUAAUCCCGCGUAUAUCCCAAGGGGGCAUCCCCUUGGGAGGAAAGCUUAGGCGGACAAGGAUGGGCAUGCGGCGCAUUAGGCAGUAGGCGGGGUAACGGCCCACCUAACCGACGAUGCGUAGGGGUUCUGAGAGGAAGGCCCCCCACACUGGUACUGAGACACGGACCAGACUCCUACGGGAGGCAGCAGUGAGGAAGAUUGGUCAAUGGCCGAGAGGCUGAACCAGCCAAGCCGCGUGAGGGAAGAAGGCCCUACGGGUCGUAAACCUCUUUUGUCAGGGAACAAAAACCGGUACGAGUACCGGGUUGAGUGUACCUGAAGAAAAAGCAUCGGCUAACUCCGUGCCAGCAGCCGCGGUAAUACGGAAGGUCCGGGCGUUAUCCGGAUUUAUUGGGUUUAAAGGGAGCGUAGGCCGGCGCUUAAGCGUGCCGUGAAAUGUCCCGGCUCAACCGGGGCACUGCGGCGCGAACUGGGUGCCUUGAGUGCGCGGAACGUAUGCGGAAUUCGUGGUGUAGCGGUGAAAUGCUUAGAUAUCACGAAGAACUCCGAUUGCGAAGGCAGCAUACGGCAGCGUAACUGACGCUGAAGCUCGAAGGUGCGGGUAUCGAACAGGAUUAGAUACCCUGGUAGUCCGCACGGUAAACGAUGGAUGCCCGCUGUUGGCGAUAUAUUGUCAGCGGCCAAGCGAAAGCGUUAAGCAUCCCACCUGGGGAGUACGCCGGCAACGGUGAAACUCAAAGGAAUUGACGGGGGCCCGCACAAGCGGAGGAACAUGUGGUUUAAUUCGAUGAUACGCGAGGAACCUUACCCGGGCUUGAACUGCAGGUGAACGAUUCAGAGAUGAUGAGGUCCUUCGGGACACCUGUGGAGGUGCUGCAUGGUUGUCGUCAGCUCGUGCCGUGAGGUGUCGGCUUAAGUGCCAUAACGAGCGCAACCCCUGUUCUCAGUUGCCAUCGGGUCAUGCCGGGCACUCUGUGAAGACUGCCUCCGUAAGGAGUGAGGAGGGUGGGGAUGACGUCAAAUCAGCACGGCCCUUACGUCCGGGGCGACACACGUGUUACAAUGGCAGGUACAGAGAGAAGCAAUGCGGCGACGCAAAGCGGAACUUGAAAGCCUGUCUCAGUUCGGAUUGGAGUCUGCAACUCGACUCCAUGAAGCUGGAUUCGCUAGUAAUCGCGCAUCAGCCAUGGCGCGGUGAAUACGUUCCCGGGCCUUGCACACACCGCCCGUCA